GAUUCGUGGCGACUUGCACUGAGUCAUAGCAGAUAAGAGCGCGGAGUCGUGGUGGCCUAUGACAGGAUUACAAUGUGCUGACAAAUGACAUCAUAUAGUGCCACUAGCUGAGCAGCAAUGAGUUGUGCGAUUCGAGAACAACAAAUGACGAGUCCAAAAUGCAGGCGCAUACAUACAUAUAUGCUUUUUCUGUUGGGUGUGUGCCAAGUGUUAUAGCAGACAAAAAUGGUGAAAUUAAAAAGUCAGCCAUAGACCCGGCCGGCGAUCAUAACAACGGCAGAACACAAAAGAUGCCAAAGCAAUGUGUCAGAGCAAUCAGUCAAGAGGCCAAACACUCCGGGAGGCCGACAAUUGAGUCAUUAGCCAAAUUAGACAAAUUGUAGCAGCCGUAGCAUAACAUAAAAUCAAUAAAAACACUAUGUAUAUACAUAUACAUAAAUAAUGUAUAUGAUUGAAACUAAA
Long non-coding RNA from Drosophila mojavensis, 462 nucleotides. RefSeq lists it as uncharacterized. The transcript is spliced from 2 exons. The record is from RefSeq and is a predicted model, not a curated record. NCBI's taxonomy places the organism in Eukaryota, Metazoa, Arthropoda, Insecta, Diptera, Drosophilidae.